Molecule: ribosomal RNA, 233 nt
Filed under: Simplicillium sp.
Lineage: Eukaryota; Fungi; Ascomycota; Sordariomycetes; Hypocreales; Cordycipitaceae
Description: partial large subunit ribosomal RNA
Rfam family: Eukaryotic large subunit ribosomal RNA
Source: RNAcentral
ACAGCUCAAAUUUGAAAUCUGGCUCCCAGAGCCCGAGUUGUAAUUUGUAGAGGAUGCUUUUGAUGCGGUGCCUUCCGAGUUCCCUGGAACGGGACGCCAUAGAGGGUGAGAGCCCCGUCUGGUCGGAUGCCAAAUCUCUGUAAAGCUCCUUCGACGAGUCGAGUAGUUUGGGAAUGCUGCUCAAAAUGGGAGGUAUAUGUCUUCUAAAGCUAAAUAUUGGCCAGAGACCGAUA